RNAcentral lists this transfer RNA (74 nucleotides) under Candidatus Mycosynbacter amalyticus. It matches the Rfam family "tRNA". Rfam says of the family: Transfer RNA (tRNA) molecules are approximately 80 nucleotides in length. Their secondary structure includes four short double-helical elements and three loops (D, anti-codon, and T loops). The record is from Rfam by way of RNAcentral. Lineage: Bacteria; Candidatus Saccharimonadota.
GGGCGCUUAGCUCAGUUGGCUAGAGCACUUCGUUUACACCGAAGGGGUCGGGGGUUCGAGCCCCUCAGCGCCCA